ACGGAAGGCAGCAGUGGGGAAUAUUGGGCAAUGGGCGUAAGCCUGACCCAGCAACGCCGCGUGAAGGAAGAAGGCUUUCGGGUUGUAAACUUCUCUUGUGAGGGACGAGCAGAAGACGGUACCUCAUGAAUAAGCCACGGCUAACUACGUGCCAGCAGCCGCGGUAAUACGUAGGUGGCAAGCGUUGUCCGGGUUUACUGGGUGUAAAGGGCGUGUAGCCGGGUCGGCAAGUCAGAUGUGAAAUCCAUGGGCUUAACUCAUGAACUGCAUUUGAAACUGUUGAUCUUGAGUAUCGGAGAGGCAAUCGGAAUUCCUAGUGUAGCGGUGAAAUGCGUAGAUAUUAGGAGGAACACCAGUGGCGAAGGCGGAUUGCUGGACCACAACUGACGCUGAGACACGAAAGCGUGGGGAGCAAACAGGAUUAGAUACCCUGGUA
Molecule: ribosomal RNA, 436 nt
Filed under: uncultured Oscillibacter sp.
Lineage: Bacteria; Bacillati; Bacillota; Clostridia; Eubacteriales; Oscillospiraceae
Description: bacterial SSU rRNA
Rfam family: Bacterial small subunit ribosomal RNA
Source: RNAcentral